UAGCGUAUAUUAAAGUUGUUGCGGUAAAAAAGCUCGUAGUUGGAUUUCUGUCAAGGACGACCGGUCCAUACCACGUAUGCGUAUCUGGUUCGGCCUCGGCAUCCUCUCGAAAAACGUUUCUGUGCUUCAUUGCAUGGAGCGGACCUCGGGACUUUUACUUUGAGGAAAUUAGAGUGUUCACGGCAGGCUAUCGCCAGAAUACAUUAGCAUGGAAUAAUACUACAGGAUCUUGAUUCUAUUUUGUUGGUUUCUAGAAUUAAGAUAAUGAUUAAUAGGGACAAUUGGGGGCAUUCGUAUCAACACGUC
RNAcentral lists this ribosomal RNA (306 nucleotides) under Amoebophrya sp. RNAcentral's name for it is "SSU rRNA". It matches the Rfam family "Eukaryotic small subunit ribosomal RNA", at positions 595 to 906 of the family's 1831-position model. Lineage: Eukaryota; Dinophyceae; Syndiniales; Amoebophryaceae. The record is from RNAcentral.